GCUGUGGUUGCUCAGUGGGUUGAGCAUCAUCCCAUGAACCAAGAGGUCCUGGGUUCGAUUCCCAGUCAGGGCA
RNAcentral lists this transfer RNA (73 nucleotides) under Myotis brandtii (Brandt's bat). It matches the Rfam family "tRNA". Rfam says of the family: Transfer RNA (tRNA) molecules are approximately 80 nucleotides in length. Their secondary structure includes four short double-helical elements and three loops (D, anti-codon, and T loops). Lineage: Eukaryota; Metazoa; Chordata; Mammalia; Chiroptera; Vespertilionidae. The record is from Rfam by way of RNAcentral.